GAUGAACGCUGGCGGCGUGCCUAACACAUGCAAGUCGAACGAAGCUUGACGGAUGAUUUCUUCGGAAUGAAACCAGAUAUGACUUAGUGGCGGACGGGUGAGUAACACGUGAGCAACCUGCCUUUCAGAGGGGGAUAACGGCUGGAAACGGUCGCUAAUACCGCAUGAUGUGUUCGGAUGGCAUCAUCUGAACAUCAAAGAUUUAUCGCUGAAAGAUGGGCUCGCGUCUGAUUAGAUAGUUGGUGGGGUAACGGCCUACCAAGUCUACGAUCAGUAGCCGGACUGAGAGGUUGAACGGCCACAUUGGGACUGAGAUACGGCCCAGACUCCUACGGGAGGCAGCAGUGGGGAAUAUUGCACAAUGGGGGAAACCCUGAUGCAGCAACGCCGCGUGAAGGAUGACGGUUUUCGGAUUGUAAACUUCUUUUCUUAGGGACGAAGACAGUGACGGUAGCUAAGGAAUAAGCAUCGGCUAACUACGUG
This 483-nucleotide ribosomal RNA is filed under the name uncultured bacterium. RNAcentral's name for it is "partial 16S ribosomal RNA". It matches the Rfam family "Bacterial small subunit ribosomal RNA", at positions 28 to 507 of the family's 1533-position model. The record is from RNAcentral.